CCCUGAUUGCCUAGCAAAGACCCUGCCCAUAGCCCCCAGACUGUCUGCUAUGGAUUCUUAAAAAACAUGUUUCUCAUUGUUUAGCACGUUCUGAAGUAUAUUCAAAGCAUCCGAGUCUCCAGUGUAAAAUACAAUCAGGAAUAUCCAGCUAUCAAGCCUACACAGUAAACAUUCUAAAGAGGUCCCAUGAGCCAAAACUAUUUUUGUUAGAAAUAAUCUCCACAAUUCUAAUGACUCAUCCCUUUUAGUGUUUUAAGUACGUGGGGGAAGAAAAAAAAUCAUGAUGUCUCCAGUUGGAAAAUUGCAUUGGGAACACUGAGUUGUUACUGAAGAAAGGCAGUUGAGUUGGAGAGUUUAAUUUAAAAGGAAAAACAAAACAAAACAAAAACACAAAACAAAACAACAACAACAAAAACCCAUCGUUCUUUAUCAGAACACUCUAAACGUUCAUUUGCCUUCAGUAUUGUUGUGCCUGGGGUGAAGUCCUUGAAGAUUCUGGUGCUGAGAGUGUCAAUGAAAUACCCUUUGGCAUUAAGCGCUCUGCCUGGAAUCCUGAUUGUGCCACCUGAAAGGAAAGGAACAGGAGUUCCUUAACGGCGUAAUAGACCAGAAGAACCGAAGGGGAGAACCCGCUUGUUCUGUGAAGAAGAUCGCUCCUAGUUAAACAAAGAAAUUUGGGGUCGCCUGCUUUUCAUGGAAAUCUCCUACAUAUGGCCUUUGAAAUUUGUCACUGAAGAUGGGUUCCGCUCUAAGGAGUUUCCUUGCAAACAUUUUACUUAAAGAGUAUAAUUCAAGAGGGAAAACAGUAUACUACGCCUUUUCUUACCGGAAGCAUGCCAACUGCUGUACACUCCUGAGCUCCCACAUGGCAAGAAGAAGCUGGUGAAGACAAUAGGGAUGAGAGAUCGCUGUCAGAUGAGAACUCCAUUCUUAGUCACUCAUUCUGCCACUUACCGAAGACCUGGAACUACAGAUGGCCCCCAACUCAGCACUUGCUUUUCAGAGAGAGGAGGCAGUCAGACCACGUACUGAUAGAAUGGCUACACUACUGAGUUAGUUCCUAAAGAUGACUGGAGCCAUCCAUCUGUCUCAUACCCCUGCCACCAUGGGAAACUCUGAAUCAACUUGGUUUGCUGUAAAAAUCCUUUUUGAUUAAUCUGAUUUGUUUUAAAUGUUUGAGGCUUA
This 1185-nucleotide long non-coding RNA is filed under the name Mus spicilegus (steppe mouse). Its description in RNAcentral is "lncRNA (ENSMSIG00000005359.1)". Lineage: Eukaryota; Metazoa; Chordata; Mammalia; Rodentia; Muridae. The record is from RNAcentral.